This 433-nucleotide ribosomal RNA is filed under the name uncultured bacterium. RNAcentral describes it as "partial 16S ribosomal RNA". It matches the Rfam family "Bacterial small subunit ribosomal RNA", at positions 29 to 507 of the family's 1533-position model. The record is from RNAcentral.
AACGAACGCUGGCGGCAUGCCUAACACAUGCAAGUCGAACGAAGCCUUCGGGCUUAGUGGCGCACGGGUGCGUAACGCGUGGGAAUCUGCCCCUUGCUUCGGAAUAACAGUUAGAAAUGACUGCUAAUACCGGAUGAAGUCUUCGGACCAAAGAUUUAUCGGCAAGGGAUGAGCCCGCGUAGGAUUAGGUAGUUGGUGGGGUAAAGGCCUACCAAGCCGACGAUCCUUAGCUGGUCUGAGAGGAUGAUCAGCCACACUGGGACUGAGACACGGCCCAGACUCUUACGAGAGGCCGCAGGGGGGAAUAUUGGACGCUGGACGCAAGUCUGAGCCAGCAAGGCCGCGUGAGUGAUGAAGGCCUUAGGGUUGUAAAGCUCUUUUAACAGGGAUGAUAAUGACAGUACCUGGAGAAUAAGCGCCGGCUAACUCCGUG